RNAcentral lists this ribosomal RNA (225 nucleotides) under Bacillus cereus. RNAcentral describes it as "partial 16S ribosomal RNA". It matches the Rfam family "Bacterial small subunit ribosomal RNA", at positions 1 to 219 of the family's 1533-position model. Lineage: Bacteria; Bacillati; Bacillota; Bacilli; Caryophanales; Bacillaceae. RNAcentral also lists the same sequence under 1 other name. The record is from RNAcentral.
UUUAUUGGAGAGUUUGAUCCUGGCUCAGGAUGAACGCUGGCGGCGUGCCUAAUACAUGCAAGUCGAGCGAAUGGAUUAAGAGCUUGCUCUUAUGAAGUUAGCGGCGGACGGGUGAGUAACACGUGGGUAACCUGCCCAUAAGACUGGGAUAACUCCGGGAAACCGGGGCUAAUACCGGAUAACAUUUUGAACCGCAUGGUUCGAAAUUGAAAGGCGGCUUCGGCU